Molecule: ribosomal RNA, 433 nt
Filed under: uncultured bacterium
Lineage: Bacteria
Description: partial 16S ribosomal RNA
Rfam family: Bacterial small subunit ribosomal RNA
Source: RNAcentral
CUCUCCCUCUGUCGGCAGGCCUAACACAUGCAAGUCGAACGAACUCUUCGGAGUUAGUGGCGGACGGGUGAGUAACACGUGGGAACGUGCCUUUAGGUUCGGAAUAACUCAGGGAAACUUGUGCUAAUACCGAAUGUGCCCUUCGGGGGAAAGAUUUAUCGCCUUUAGAGCGGCCCGCGUCUGAUUAGCUAGUUGGUGAGGUAAAGGCUCACCAAGGCGACGAUCAGUAGCUGGUCUGAGAGGAUGAUCAGCCACAUUGGGACUGAGACACGGCCCAAACUCCUACGGGAGGCAGCAGUGGGGAAUCUUGCGCAAUGGGCGAAAGCCUGACGCAGCCAUGCCGCGUGAAUGAUGAAGGUCUUAGGAUUGUAAAAUUCUUUCACCGGGGACGAUAAUGACGGUACCCGGAGAAGAAGCCCCGGCUAACUUCGUG